CAAUGGAACACGACUCAGCCAUUAAAAAGAAUAAAAUAAUGCCAUUUGUAGCAACAUGGGUGAACCUAGAGAUGAUCAAACUAAGUGAUCAAUCAGAGAAAGACAAAUAUCAUAUGAUAGUCCUUAUAUGAGGAAUCUUUAAAAAAUGAUAUGAAUGACCUUAUUUAUAAAACAGAAAUAGACUUACAGACAUGAGAGACAAACUUAUGGUUCCCAAAGGGGAAAGGAAGGCAGAUAAAUUAGUUUGGGAUUAUCAGAGUCCUUGGCUACUUCAUAGAACAUAAAUACUGCACAUGACUGUAGAUCAUGAGGUUCAACUGGUUAUUAAGUCGUUUAAUCCUAGAAGAACCCUAUUAUUCCCAUUUUAAAGGUGAGAACUCUGAGGCACAGAGAAGUUAAACAGGUAUUGCAGCUGUGAUUCAGUCUGGAUGGUUCAGGGUCCCGAGUCCAUGGCCCUGACCUCGACCCUGUACUGUACCCCGGAUACUACGGUUCCAUCUAUGCCUUUAUCUUUGCUGACUCCCUUACCUGUUGUGUUAUCCCACUUUCCUGAAUUUUAAUGUUCUGUGGGCCUUCUUUGAUGGGUUGGUUUUUUUUUUUCUUUUGGUCUUAUAAAGCAGUUCAGAAAUGGGAGUUUGCAGAAUAAAGGAAGAAAGAUUAAACAGAAGGAAAUACGGAAACUUGUUAUUGCCCCUCUGGAAUGUUCUGAAAGUUCGUUGACAAGCAGUCCAGAGAAAGACGACGGGAGACAGCGUCGGACUGAGUCAGGGAUGGGAAGUCAGCAGCAAGGGAAGACAGGUUCAAAUUGGUUUGUGCAGAUUCCCACAAGGCACUUUUAAUUGUGUGUCACUUAAAAUGUAAUGCUGCAUCUCUCCCUCUCCUCAUUAGUUGUACUUUUGGAAAAUGUAAACUGGGCAAAACACAGCAAGGCGGCUCGCUUUCUGAAGAUUUUUAUUUACCUGUGCAGUGAGGCACGGUGCAGAGUUCCUGCCUUUGGGGAUUUUAUUGUGUUUGAGGAAAUAGACUAAAAGCGAUCAUUUUAAUGCAAUAGUGGAGGUCUUUCAGGCAGAGAAACCUCACGGAAAAGAUGCAGAGGCAGGAGAGUGUAUAACUUGUUUCAGGAAAGGCAAGUAACCCACUGUGAUCAGGACAGGAAGGUGCAAAGGUCAAGGCCACCCCUCUGCAUGAUUCCAAAAGACAUCCUUUCGUUGUCUCCCAGGUGAACAGAAUCUUCUGGCUUUGUCUAGUGCACAACCUGAGGACCUGGGUGAGGUUGGGAAGGGGGAUCCCUUUCCUCUUUUUCUCUUAUUAUGUAGGGGAAGAUUUGAAGGGAAAAAUGGCAUCAGCUUUUCCCAUAUUUAUUUAUUUAUUUAUUUAUUUAUUUUGCUUGUUAGGGCUGCACUAGCAGCGUAUGGAGGUUCCCAGGCUAGGGGUCCCAUCAGAGCGGCAGCCGCCAGCCUAUGCCACAGUCACAGCAACUCCAGAUCCAAGCCGUAUCUGUGACCUACACCGCAGCUUGCGGCAAUGCUGGAGCCUUAACUCAGUGAGCGAGGCCAGGGAUCAAACUUCGGCAUCCUUGUGGAUACUAGUCAGGGCCUUAACCCGCUGAGCCACAUCAGGAACUCUCGGCUUUUCCCAUUUUUAAAAGGACAAAAGCUUUGUCUUUUCCUGGAUCAGCAAAACUGUCAAUCAGAGAUAAUGUGUUUGUAGCUAAUUCCCAAGAUACCUGCUUGAAAUAUGACUACGGGCGGUAAAGUGAAAAUGCCUAGUUAUAGAGUCUCCACGGAUGACAAGUAUUCUGACCUAAGGUCAAGAACUAGGUCAGAAAAAUAACCUUUCCAAGUAUUUAAGCAUUUUCAGAAUGAAAUGCUUAGGCCCUCGGAAUAUGCGAAGGCUCUGUGAAACCUGGAAGGGCUUUUAGAAAAAUUCCAGUCUCCUUUACAGAUGAGGCCAAAUACCUUUGCAAAUUCUACAUCAGGCAGCGAGAAGAAGGAGGGUUUAAGAUGGUACACUUUCCUCCCCACUGACUUGCCACUAAAAUAAACAACAAUAAUAAACAUUCAUGCUCUUUGAGCCGGAAUGGAGGUGCCAGGCCAAUCUUUUCCUCGAUGUUUUUUCUCUUCUGUUUUCCAUUGCCUCAGCUUGAUCUCAGGUUUGUACUGGAACAGAGUCCAAACAGGAUAAAAUACCCUGAAAAGCUUUGUUGGGACUGCUGCAACCUGGCCAGAGGCAAGAAAUAGUAGAAAUCAUGAGAGAGCCUGUUCGGAUGAGAAUUCCAGCGGCGCUCGGUUCCAUUCAAGCAAGUUCCAAAACAAGAGAAAAAUCCUUACAUGGCCCGCCAACAUUUUUAGGGUGCUCCUCCAAAACAAACAGAAAUUUGCAUCUUUGAAGAGUCCCCAAGUUUGGAGCCCAUCCAUUGCCUGAGUUCCCCUGGCGGCCCCCUCCGUCUGGACCAGAAGAAAGUCCAUGAUGCAAAGUCAGCGGUGUGGACCUUUGGUGAGGCUGCUGCUUGGCCUCUUGGACACCUCCAACAGUGAGUGCUUUCCUAAGGCUGGGAUGCAGAAAGUCCUGAGUUUCAUUUUUCUUGUGCCAGCAUUAAUGGAUAUGAUGCUGUCUGUCAUUCUCCCACCCUGUAGAAGAAAAUCGCUCUAAGUUCAUGACUUAAUCUCUGCUCAUAGGAGACAUAAUAAAAGCUAGAACUCCCCCCAAAAGAGAGGUGAGCGUGGUUAAUCACUCUGUCAGUGCAGAAAGAUUCCUUUCUGCUGCACAGUUGUUCACUGACCUAAGACAGAUUUGAAGAAGAGGUCCGAGGCUCAUCUAUGCUCCAGAGGCCAUAUUGUUUUGCAGAUGGUGGAAUAAAUAAAAUAUUUCCUGAAGCGUGAACACGUGCAGGAAGGAGCAGAGGAUGAGGGGAUGCUGCUGUAAGCCGGGCUAGCCAGAUGUGAAUGCUGACCUCCACGCACUGGAAUCUGAUUGACAGUGGGGUUGGAUUUCUCCAGCUGUUUGGAAGAGCUGCAUGGGAAGUCAACUCGUUCCCAAGACGAAAGGGGGCCACCUGCAACAUAUCCCCUUCAUCACCGUUGGGAUUUCCAUCGUGUGUAUUUCUGGGAUCUCGAAUCCCUCGUUUUCAAUGCGCAGAAAUCUUAUAAAAGGGAUUUCCGAAGUAUCAGCAACCAGAUCUCUGAAAGAGAGUUCUGUAUUCUUUCCACCAGGAUCAGCGCUCAGAGUGUCGGCCGAUCCCUACAGAGCUAGGUUUAAUAUUUAGUUUCAGGAUAAUUUGAACUGUGGAUGGCACAUACCGCAGCCAACAAGCUAACAGAAAGCACACAUGCCUUGCGUAUGUGUGUGUUCAUGAAAGUAGGUGCGUGUUGUGAACAAGUUCCUGCAAAUGGAAACCAUCUAUAAAACUGUCCACUGGAGCCAAUGGAAUACUCACUAAUUAGAAUCGUUUCUGGAAACUAUUGUUUCAGGAAAGUGGUAGUUCCAGGAAGCCUUGAAGAUUUUAUUUAUGUAUGUAUUUGUUUAUGUAGGUUUUUAUAACUGCAGCCUUGGCUAAAAUUAACAUCAUGAAACAAGGACAGCAAAAUUGCAUUUUUAAAUGUGCCCGAAAACUGAGCAUUAGUCAUAAUACAAUGCCGGAUACCCCUGGAUUCAAAACCAGCAACUCUGGGGGAAAAAAAAAAAAAAACCUACAGAAACGUGAACCUCAUGUAUAGAUUGGUUAGCUGAAAUAUACCUUUGCAGGAGCUACAAAAUAAAGGGUUUGUGAAUAACUGCAAAUGCAAAUUAAAUUGCGGGCCAAGGUUUAAAGAGAACAACUGGUUUCAAACAGACCCUUAAGCAUUUCAGAAGCAGCUAUUUACAUACAAGCAAUUAAUGCCUGAAUUACAAAUCAUUCUUAUCAAUUCAUUAAAACAAGCUCCCCAGGGACCUCUACUAGACUGAAAAAAAUCUGAGAUCUCUAACUUGUAUACAUUUGAAAAAAGGCACACAUUUCACUGUUCACCCUCUGCUAAUUCAGAUUGUCCUUUUCAACAAUCUGAGUGCGAAAGGUUUCUGCCUGCUCCUGGAGCGAAACCAGCUCUGAGUGAUAACACUGACACUGAUCUCUGAUGUCUUGGGGAUGUAGAAAAAGACCUCCUCCAAGUGUAAAAGCAGAUCACACUUGUGUGACAGAAGAACCACUUACAAGAUGCCAUUUAAGGGGCCCAUCUCACCUCCAAAUAUAUCCCCACUUGAGUCUCCAGUAUUUAAGGUUUCUGUGAUUGGAUUCAUUUGGAUGAAGGCAAAUAGCUUUGUCAAGGGGCUGCUGUUUAAAUGAAGAUAUUUUCUGAGUGGGAAGGUAAUCCAUGCACCUGCAUGGGCUCAGGGGCCCCAGGGCAGCCAGGUUCAGAGUGGGGCUCAGAUCAGAACAUGGGAGGGGGAAGGCCUGCACCUCACGGCCUUCAUUCGCAGAGGGAAACCUCGAGAGCAUAACGGGAUCAGGUGGACAGGGGCGGUGAGGAAAGGAAGUGCUAAGAACAAUUUCAUCACUGUGUUGAAGGCCAGCCUUGCCUCCAACAUGCUAGUUUAGCGUCACGGUCCCCAGGAAGUCGGCUCUGGGGACACCUUCUAAACUUCCAGGCUUUGCUCUUCCAAGGCUGAAGCCCCACACCCUGCCUUGUGCCAGCCCCUCCAACAGGUCUUCUUCCUGUUUGCAGCAGGCCCUUUAAAAUCCCGAGAGGUUGCCUUUACACAUCUGUAUGCUCUCUGGGGCGUGCGGGGGGCGGGGGCCUUUAUCCCACCCCCCCCCCCCCCCCCCGAUCAAGCGUGGCUCUCACUUCCGCAUAAAUCUCCCGACUUCUCUGAGAAGGCUUUCCAGAAUUAAAAUUCAAACCCAAGCAAAGUAUUUCUGGGAUACUGUGAAAUACAGUCAGCAACCCUAACAUGUCACGUGCUGAGACGUCAAAUACAGAAAAAGUCCAAGACUUUAUAUGACCUACUGAACAUUCACACAUUGUCCAAAGAUUUUCUUUGAAAUGCUGUUCUAGCCCAAGGGGAUGGAUCUG
Molecule: long non-coding RNA, 5048 nt
Filed under: Sus scrofa (pig)
Lineage: Eukaryota; Metazoa; Chordata; Mammalia; Artiodactyla; Suidae
Description: lncRNA (ENSSSCG00060007982.1)
Source: RNAcentral